This 253-nucleotide ribosomal RNA is filed under the name uncultured bacterium. Its description in RNAcentral is "partial 16S ribosomal RNA". It matches the Rfam family "Bacterial small subunit ribosomal RNA", at positions 524 to 776 of the family's 1533-position model. The record is from RNAcentral.
GACGAACCGAGCGAACGUUGUUCGGAAUCACUGGGCUUAAAGCGUGUGUGGGCGGAUCGGUAAGUACCUUGUGAAAUCCCACAGCUUAACUGUGGAACUGCUUGGUAUACUGCCAGUCUUGAGCCAGCUAGGGGCUACCGGAACAAAUGGUGGAGCGGUGAAAUGCGUAGAUAUCAUUUGGAACGCCAAUGGUGAAAACAGGUAGCUGGGGCUGUGCUGACGCUGAGACACGAAAGCCAGGGGAGCAAACGGG